ACGUGUGUUUUGUUAUUACCGUCAUAACGUUUAUUUGUAUCGAGUCGUUUUUGGUGCAUGCAUUUCAAAUCUGAUGGCUUUCAGGUUUAAUUUUAAUCAAGACGACAGUGGCAUAGCCGAGGAAGUCAAUGGAGGAGUUGUCCCUGUGCUGGAGAAAAAGGCUGAAAUGUUGGCAGUUGCUGAGGCAGUGGAACUCGAGUAUGAAGAAGAAAAGUUACAGUUAGAAGACGUUGCUAUGGAAACACUGACAACAUCAGAGGGGGAGGAGGUGAAAUAUUGCAGUGCUGAAGAUAUACAAGACAGGCUGAAUCAGGAGAAAACAGACUCAGUCAUUGUUAGGGCUAAUUCAUCUAAUUCUGAUCUUAUUCCACAUGUAUAUGAAGGUGGCCUCAAGGUAUGGGAGUGUUCUGUGGACUUGACACACUACCUGUCUGGCUUAAAACUGGCAUUUAGAGGAUUGAAAGUUCUAGAGCUUGGCUGUGGGGCAGGGCUGCCUGGUUUGUAUACAUACUGUCAGGGGGCACUUGUAGACUUCCAAGAUUAUAAUAAAGAGGUUCUUCAGUAUGUGACCAUGUGCAAUGUUUUCCUCAACACUCCACCAGACCAUGGAGAGUGGUGCAGAGAAAGAUGCGGCUAUUACGCUGGGGACUGGAGCAUGGUGCUACAACUGCUGAACUCACGAAAUAAAAAAUACGACUUGAUCCUGACAUCAGAGACUAUCUACAGUCUGGAGUCCCAACAAAGCUUGCUGAGCUGUCUGCAGGAGCUGAUAAAAGAUGAUGGUGACAUAUAUGUAGCUGCUAAAACAUGUUAUUUUGGAGUUGGUGGGAGCACACAGAAUUUCCAAGACUUGGUCUCCAAAAAUGCCGUACUUGAUGUUGAGGUGGUGAAGACUUUCACUGAUGAAUAACAACCUGUCAACGUAGUGUGCAUCUUGAUAGUCCGAAGGCUAUUUAAUCCGAGGCUUUAUCGGUCCCAGAACGACGAAAUACUGGCGUACAAAGGGAAAUUCUCCAUCUGAAACCAAAGAAGA
Molecule: unclassified non-coding RNA, 1033 nt
Filed under: Lingula anatina
Lineage: Eukaryota; Metazoa; Brachiopoda; Lingulata; Lingulida; Lingulidae
Description: histidine protein methyltransferase 1 homolog, transcript variant X3
Source: RNAcentral